AACGAACGCUGGCGGCAUGCCUAACACAUGCAAGUCGAACGAGACCUUCGGGUAUAGGGGGGGAGCGGGGGGUAACGCGGGGGAAGCUGCCCGUAGGUUCGGAGUAACUCCCCGAAAGGGGUGCUAAUACCGGAUAAGGUCUUCCGAGCAAAGAGUUAUCGCCUUUGGAUGGGGCCGCGUUGGAUUAGAUGGUUGGGAGGGUAAAAGCCUACCAAGGCGACGAUGCAUAGCUGGUCUGAGAGGAUGAUAAUCCACAAUGGGACUGAGACCCGGCCCACAAGCGUACGGGAGGCAGCAGUAGGGAACAUUGGACACGGGGCGCAAACCUAAUAACGCAACGCCGCGUGAGAGAUGAAGGCCUUAGGGUUCUAAAUCCCCUUUACCCGAGAUGAUAAUGACAGUACCGGGAGAAUAAGCUCCGGCUAACUCCGUG
RNAcentral lists this ribosomal RNA (433 nucleotides) under uncultured bacterium. Its description in RNAcentral is "partial 16S ribosomal RNA". It matches the Rfam family "Bacterial small subunit ribosomal RNA", at positions 29 to 507 of the family's 1533-position model. The record is from RNAcentral.